Molecule: long non-coding RNA, 2044 nt
Organism: Rattus norvegicus (Norway rat)
Lineage: Eukaryota; Metazoa; Chordata; Mammalia; Rodentia; Muridae
Source: RefSeq, a predicted model, not a curated record
CUUCAUCCCCUGCUAAAAAUAGCUCGCUGUGCCUAAACUGUGCACAGAGCACAAUUCAGGCAGGGCACCUCCUUUUCUUAUGGAGUCCUGUAUCUUUGUGAACUCCUGGGUUCCCAGUCUGAGCUUUCCAGGUAUUGAUGCUUCACAGGCACUGCUACAUACUGCUGAGGGAAACAUGUCCUGCGUGACUUUACUGGGAAAAUUCCUAGCAAAAAUUUUGUGCCUGAUUUCCUCUGGACGUGUGCUGAAUAGACUUCCACAAGAGUUGUGCACACACAUUCCUGAAAUCCUUCUCUGCUUCCUGCCCUUGGAAUCUAACUGCCUCAGCCUAGAGGAAUUCUAAUCAUUCCCUGCUCACCCAAGGACCGCUGGCCCUGUUUAUCUUGUCAUUACCUAGAAAUUCCUUCUUAUCAGAAGGCGCAUCUCUUUCAUUGUCCCUUUUCCCCUCGUCCUUCACUACUUAUAGAGGAAUAUUUAAAAGAAACACAGAGGGGAUGAAUUCACUCGAAAAUUGUUGUAUGAAAUUCUCAAGGAGUUAAAACCAUGUUUCAAAAGAACAAAAUGUGGACAGCAUGCUGCCAUUUGCUUAAGGAAGUGAGAUAUCUUCGCUUGUGGUGAUUUUGUAGAGAGAAAUGCACCGAAGGAUUUCUGGAGGCGUCCAGGCUGCUUCUUGCUACUUCAGCAGACUGGUGCCCACUGGUGGGGCCUCUCGGGUUCUUCUGGACAGAGCCACUGCUGCUGGUUUGAGUGGAUUGUUGAUAAGGAAGAAUGGAAACACUCCAAAGAAUGACUUCUCAACAGACUCAUCUAAACAGGGAAAUUUAAGAAGCACACGUAAAACAGCCUGGUGAUGUCCGGAUGUUACCAUGCCAUUCACUAGAAAAUGGACUUGGUGACGGUUUUAAAGGUAUUGGAGGGACAGACGAGUCUCCCAGGCUUCCAGUUUGCUUGGGAGUACAAUAAAGUUAUUAAAAAAGGACGUUAUAAUUUGGAAACUAUCAAUAAAAUGCUGUAACAAAUUUAAGAAUUAGGCAUUGCUCUGGUCUGACUGUGUCCCUUCCCUCCAGAUUCCCCUUACUUAAUGCUGUGUUAAGUAAGGCGUUGGGGGAGCUUGACAUCAAUUUGCAUUUUGCCUCUUUUAUGUCUUACUAACCUCAAGUUAGGCAAUCCAAAUCCUUUACGUAGUGCAGCUUGCUUUGGUUUUCCUAAAACGACCUGCAGCAUUCCGACAGAGUUCUCUGGGAAUUCGCACAUCUGGUUUUGCUUCCAAAAUAAGCGCGAGCCUUUUUCUUUACAUUCAAACAACCCACCCGUUUCUUCUGUGUGUGGUUCAGUUUUUAAAAAUGAAAUAGAUCGACUUCACUGUCUCAACUUUGGAUGAUAAUUUCCCCAUGUAUUUCCUAUCUUGGGUAUGUGGCAUUUUGCGGGAGGGGUGUCUUUAGGAUGCUAUAUGAGAAUAUUAAAUCAUUCAGCACCCUGGAGCCAAUCAAUUACUCAUUAACGACAACAGCGUAAGCAACUGGAAAUUUUACAAUGAAAAGUACCAGCGGCUGCCACGAUAAAUUUAGCCAACCACUUCUAAAUUUAGCGCCCCUGUCACUUAUAAACCACUUUCCACUUAAGGCCUGGGCUGUAGGACGAUUGUUGGAUCCUCCCGCUUCUCGGCACGCGUGUAGCCACGGGGCUUCCAGCGCCACGCGCGGUCCGAGUGCGCGCUGCCCACCAGCCGACCCGUGCGGGCGAGGCGCCGUGGCUGAGCCCAGCGCUGCAAACGCCUGGCGGGCUGACCCAGACCGUGCGGGUUAGAGACGCUUCUUUCGCGCCGUCCCGCAGCGGGGCGCGCGCGGAGCUUCAGCCUUCUUUCCCGGUUCUCUGAGGUCCCGGAGCAGUGGGUUCGGUCCAGGCUGCAGCUUCCCAGCAGCUCCCUCCCCAGGGGCGGGCCCUGGCUCUCCGUGCAGCAACGAGUGGGCGGCCAGAGGCGGGUAGCCGAGAGGACGGGCGGCUGCGAGACAGUCGCUGGGACUCGGAGGGCGCGGCGAGCCGG